This is a non-coding RNA of Brachypodium distachyon (stiff brome), 160 nucleotides long. Lineage: Eukaryota; Viridiplantae; Streptophyta; Magnoliopsida; Poales; Poaceae. The record is from RefSeq and is marked provisional.
AUAACGAACGGUGGCAUAUUGACUGUAAUUUUGAUGACAUGACGUACGGCGGCGGUCGUACCAUCACUACCAACUCCAAUUUAAUAUAUUGGUGGUGAUGGUACGGUCGUUGCGAUACGUCACUUCACCGAAAUUACAAAUCUGCCACCGUUGUCCCCAC